UGCGUAGGUGGUUAAAUAAGUCAGAUGUGAAAUCCCCGGGCUCAACCUGGGCAUUGCAUUUGGUACUGUUUGACUAGAGUACAGUAGAGGGAAGUGGAAUUUCCGGUGUAGCGGUGAAAUGCGUAGAUAUCGGAAGGAACAUCAGUGGCGAAGGCGACUUCCUGGACUGUAACUGACACUGAGGCACGAAAGCGUGGGGAGCGAACA
Molecule: ribosomal RNA, 207 nt
Filed under: uncultured bacterium
Lineage: Bacteria
Description: partial 16S ribosomal RNA
Rfam family: Bacterial small subunit ribosomal RNA
Source: RNAcentral